AACGUAGGACACAAGCGUUAUCCGGAGUUACUGGGCGUAAAGGGCGUGUAGGCGGAUCAAUAAGUCUAUUCUGAAAGCUCCUGGCUAAACUGGGAGAGGCGAAUGGAGACUGUUGGUCUAGAGUGAGGAAGAGGAAAGUGGAAUUCCGCGUGUAGUGGUGAAAUGCGUAGAGAUGCGGAGGAACACCAGUGGCGAAAGCGGCUCACUGGACCGGUAUUGACGCUGAGGUGGCGAAAAGCGUGGGGAGCAAACAGG
Molecule: ribosomal RNA, 255 nt
Filed under: uncultured bacterium
Lineage: Bacteria
Description: partial 16S ribosomal RNA
Rfam family: Bacterial small subunit ribosomal RNA
Source: RNAcentral